UAACUCCGUGCCAGCAGCCGCGGUAAUACGGAGGGUGCGAGCGUUGUCCGGAAUCAUUGGGCGUAAAGAGUUCGUAGGUGGCCUGUUAAGUCUGGUGUUAAAUGCAGAUGCUCAACAUCUGUUCGGCACUGGAUACUGGCAAGCUUGAAUGCGGUAGAGGUAAAGGGAAUUCCUGGUGUAGCGGUGAAAUGCGUAGAUAUCAGGAGGAACAUCGGUGGCGUAAGCGCUUUACUGGGCCGUAAUUGACACUGAGGAACGAAAGCCAGGGUAGCAAAUGGGAUUAGAUACCCCAGUAGUCCUGGCCGUAAACGAUGGAUACUAGGUGUUGCGGGUAUCGACCCCUGCAGUGCCGAAGCAAACGCGAUAAGUAUCCCGCCUGGGGAGUACGCACGCAAGUGUGAAACUCAAAGGAAUUGACGGGGACCCGCACAAGCGGUGGAACAUGUGGUUUAAUUCGAAGCAACGCGAAAAACCUUACCAGGGCUUGACAUCUAACAAACACUUGUGAAAGCGAGUGGUGCUCUUCGGAGAAUGUUAAGACAGGUGGUGCACGGUUGUCGUCAGCUCGUGUCGUGAGAUGUUGGGUUAAGUCCCGCAACGAGCGCAACCCUCGUCGUUAGUUGGAUGUGUCGGUACACUUACACAUUCCUCUCUAGCGAGACUGCCGGUGAUAAACCGGAGGAAGGUGGGGACGACGUCAAAUCAUCAUGCCCCUUAUGCUCUGGGCUACACACGUGUUACAAUGGCUGGUACAACGAGCCGCCAACUCGUGAGAGUGAGCAAAUCUCUAAAAACCAGUCUCAGUUCGGAUUGCACUCUGCAACUCGAGUGCAUGAAGUCGGAAUCGCUAGUAAACGCAGAUCAGCACGCUGCGUUGAAUACGUUCCCGGGUCUUGUACACACCGCCCGUCACACCAUGGAAGUCGACCACGCCCGAAGUACGUGAGCUAACCGUAAGGGAGCAGCGUCCUAAGGCAGGGUUGGUGACUGGGGGGAAGUCGUAACAAGGUAGCCGUACCGGAAGGUGUGGCUG
RNAcentral lists this ribosomal RNA (1033 nucleotides) under human gut metagenome. Its description in RNAcentral is "bacterial SSU rRNA". It matches the Rfam family "Bacterial small subunit ribosomal RNA", at positions 498 to 1520 of the family's 1533-position model. The record is from RNAcentral.